RNAcentral lists this ribosomal RNA (253 nucleotides) under uncultured bacterium. RNAcentral describes it as "partial 16S ribosomal RNA". It matches the Rfam family "Bacterial small subunit ribosomal RNA", at positions 524 to 776 of the family's 1533-position model. The record is from RNAcentral.
UACGUAGGGUGCGAGCGUUGUCCGGAAUUAUUGGGCGUAAAGAGCUUGUAGGCGGUUUGUCGCGUCUGCCGUGAAAGCCCAGGGCUUAACCCUGGGUCUGCGGUGGGUACGGGCAGACUAGAGUGUGGUAGGGGAGACUGGAAUUCCUGGUGUAGCGGUGAAAUGCGCAGAUAUCAGGAGGAACACCAAUGGCGAAGGCAGAUCUCUGGGCCGUAACUGACGCUGAGGAGCGAAAGCAUGGGGAGCGAACAGG